This 1368-nucleotide ribosomal RNA is filed under the name metagenome. RNAcentral describes it as "bacterial LSU rRNA". It matches the Rfam family "Bacterial large subunit ribosomal RNA", at positions 1572 to 2925 of the family's 2925-position model. The record is from RNAcentral.
UAUGAGCUCACGAACUCAGUUAUCCCAGACUUCCAAGAAAAGUUCCGGCGUGAGUCACUUUACUGACCGUACCGCAAACCGACACAGGUGGGCAAGGAGAGUAUCCUAAGGCGUUUGAGAGAAGCCUCUCUAAGGAACUCUGCAUAAUGACACCGUAACUUCGGGAUAAGGUGUGCCGACGGUAGGUGAUGUGCCUGCGCACAAAGCCCAAGUCGGUUGCAGUGAAACGGGGGUAGCGACUGUUUACCAAAAACACAGCACUCUGCAAACUCGUAAGAGGAUGUAUAGGGUGUGAUGCCUGCCCGGUGCCGGAAGGUUAAGAGGAGGAGUCAGCCGCAAGGCAAAGCCCCGAAUCGAAGCCCCGGUAAACGGCGGCCGUAACUAUAACGGUCCUAAGGUAGCGAAAUUCCUUGUCGGGUAAGUUCCGACCUGCACGAAUGGCAUAACGACUUCCCCACUGUCUCGGAGAGGCCCUCAGCGAAGUAGCACUAGGGGUGAAGAUACCCUUUACCCGCGGCAGGACGGAAAGACCCCGUGAACCUUUACUGUAACUUGGCACUGAUUUUCGGGUUAGCUUGCGUAGGAUAGGUGGGAGGCUAUGAAGCCGGGAUUCCGGUCUCGGCAGAGCCAACCUUGAAAUACCACCCUGGCUAACCUAAAAAUCUAACUCGCUUCCGUAAUCCGGAAGGAGGACAAUGCCUGGUGGGCAGUUUGACUGGGGCGGUCGCCUCCCAAAAAGUAACGGAGGCGCGCGAAGGUUCCCUCAGCCUGAUUGGAAACCAGGCGCAGAGUGUAAUGGCAUAAGGGAGCUUGACUGCGAGACAAACAAGUCGAGCAGGUGCGAAAGCAGGUCAUAGUGAUCCGGUGGUCCUGUAUGGAAAGGCCAUCGCUCAACGGAUAAAAGGUACUCCGGGGAUAACAGGCUUAUCACGCCCAAGAGUUCACAUCGACGGCGUGGUUUGGCACCUCGAUGUCGGCUCAUCGCAUCCUGGGGCUGAAGUAGGUCCCAAGGGUUCGGCUGUUCGCCGAUUAAAGCGGUACGCGAGCUGGGUUCAAAACGUCGUGAGACAGUUUGGUCCCUAUCCGCCGUGGGCGCAGGAGACUUGAGAGGAGCUAACCUUAGUACGAGAGGACCGGGUUGGACUGACCUCUAGUGUUCCGGUUGCGGCACCAGCCGCAUCGCCGGGUAGCUACGUCGGGAAUGGAUAACCGCUGAAAGCAUCUAAGCGGGAAGCCAACCUCAAGAUUAGGUCUCCCAGGUCGUAAGACCCUAAAGGCCCCUCGUAGACCACGAGGUAAUAGGCUGGGUGUGGAAGCGUAGUAAUACGUGAAGCUGACCAGUACUAAUCGGCCGUGCGGCUUGACCAC